UCACGUGUUUGAAUACUUUGUCACGUGUGAAAAAAUUGCCCUCUCUACCCCUGGAAAACUAACAUGUCAGGUUUCUAAUGAGACUUGCUGCUAUGUGCAAGGAGAUUUCAUUUGAGAACACUCAAUUGAGCAGUUUUUCCUGCCAGUAUUCCAAACUAGUGCAGUCUCAGAAGGGCACUACCACAUUGUUCUGAACAUGUAGCAAACCCCUCUGUCUUCAGAACAGAUGUGGGGCAAAGGAAAGAGAAGUCACCUUCAGGAGAUGGGCUCUGACUGUUACGUGAUGUACACAGAAUUUUGUCUGAAAUUGUACAGAUUGCCUGCAAAGCCGCUGUAAAAGGGGCAUCCAUCCCCUUUAAUCUGUUUAAUUAAAUACAAACCAAAUAUACAAGUCUUGACAGAUAAAAGCAUCCUCACAAUAGGGACCCAUUACACUGGGAACUGGUAAAUUCAAAAUAGCAGUUUACAGAGACUUAGAGUUUAAUUAUUUUUUUUUUUAAUUCUCUAAAAUAAGAUGCUGAAAGGUUCUGCAUACCUCAGGGCAUGCAGUGAGCAAAGCUUUUCAGUUGGCUAUAUCCUAACAUAGCUCUACUCAAAUCUAGCUGCUUGUGUACCUCAUUUUGACCCAAAGAGCUAUGACUUUUUUUGUCUGUUUGCAACUUCUGUGCCACAACAAGAGAUUUAUGGUAUAGAGAUAUACAUAGAGGACAUGAUCUAGGCAAAGUUCAGCAUGUUUUGAGUCCUAUUAAUUUCAAUGGCAGAGUGAAGCACAUGUUUAAAUUCUCUUCCAUGGGCAUUAAUGGGGGUGCUCAACUUUGGCUGGGCCAUAGCCAUAUAUUCUAUAUGUCUGGCCUGGUAUUCCCAUUGCUUAGAACAUUGCAUUUUGUUUUGUACCAUGCAAGAUGGGGAGUGAAACUGUGUUUUUGGCAUGGUGUCCUUACACCCAUUUUGCACUCGCUUUGCACAGAUAUAUGCAAGCGUCCGAGGCAAUGGAGAACCGGGACUGUUAUAAAUAUAUUUUUCUAUAUCUUUAUGACCUGCCCUGCAUCUCUACAAACAAAAUAUAUGGUUUUUAAACUGCAAAAGAUAGUGUGUUUUAACGAAACAAAACUCUAAUGCAUGAAUGUAAAUAAUCUUAAGAUCUGCCUUCUUGACUGUGUACCACAUGUGCAGAUGAAAACUGCUAUUGUUCAUAGAGAAUCUGUAAUGGUGGUUAAAUGACUGAAGAGGAUGGCCUUGAUCCAGAGAGUUUCCUUAGGGACGCUUCAUGCAAUACACCCAGGUGUCCGCUUUCCAGAGAGGGAGCUCAGAAGCUUCACUGUGCUCUUGGAGCUCAUUUCAUAGCCCCCUGGAUCAUGGCCAGCUACAAUCUCAAAAAUUAAUGUUGUCAUGUUUCUAAGACAAGCCAUUAAUAUAUAUUUAGCAUUUAAGAAUAUUGCUCAAUACAUAUGUUCUGUACCAAAAAAAAAAGUGUUGCAUAUACAGAUUGUGCAGUACCCUAUUUAAAAAAGGCACCAUAAUUAAUUUUUAUUUUAAAUAAAAAUGUACUUAUUUAAAAAAA
This is a long non-coding RNA of Heteronotia binoei (common prickly gecko), 1561 nucleotides long. RefSeq lists it as uncharacterized. The record is from RefSeq and is a predicted model, not a curated record. The transcript has 2 exons. Lineage: Eukaryota; Metazoa; Chordata; Lepidosauria; Squamata; Gekkonidae.